ACGGAGGGGGCUAGCGUUGUUCGGAAUUACUGGGCGUAAAGCGCGCGUAGGCGGACUGGAAAGUUGGGGGUGAAAUCCCGGGGCUCAACCUCGGAACUGCCUUCAAAACUAUCAGUCUGGAGUUCGAGAGAGGUGAGUGGAAUUCCGAGUGUAGAGGUGAAAUUCGUAGAUAUUCGGAGGAACACCAGUGGCGAAGGCGGCUCACUGGCUCGAUACUGACGCUGAGGUGCGAAAGCGUGGGGAGCAAACAGG
RNAcentral lists this ribosomal RNA (252 nucleotides) under uncultured bacterium. RNAcentral's name for it is "partial 16S ribosomal RNA". It matches the Rfam family "Bacterial small subunit ribosomal RNA", at positions 525 to 776 of the family's 1533-position model. The record is from RNAcentral.